CUUAUUGGCGUUCUCAUUCAUUUGCGAA
Molecule: non-coding RNA, 28 nt
Filed under: Rattus norvegicus (Norway rat)
Lineage: Eukaryota; Metazoa; Chordata; Mammalia; Rodentia; Muridae
Source: RNAcentral